AGCGACACCAUGUGGUAUUUCCUGUCAACGUUCUGUCUGUACUGCGCAGUCGCGGUGUCAUGUAAACAGCAGAGGUUCGUGAGCUAGCUAACCAGCUACAUAGAUGUUAAGGCGUUGAUACCGGCGAUAUUGUUCAAAUGUAGCUUUCAAUCAAUAUAUUUGUCUUUCUUCACCACACAUCGCAUUGUCUAGCAGGAUAAUCUGACCUGAGAGACCCUUAUCUACACCGAGGAAACCUCCUUUUGUUGUUUUGAUCAGUGAUUCGAGAAGGCUAACGUUACUGUAGCUAGCAAGUUAACGUUAGACAGCAUAGUUUGGGUCCUUGCAACGUUGAGCUUCAAAGCUCGAAUGAAACGCCAGCGGAGUGGUGGGGAAGAGGAGAAUGGCCAGCUGGUGCCUAAGGCCAAAAGGUUGAGCAGAGGAGCUAACCCCUCUCUCCUGAGCUGGGCCUGGAUGCCUGGGACUCGGAGUUGUCCAACAGUGAGAGCAGAGGGAUUAGCAGUCCGGACCAUGCGGUGGGGAGCAGCAGCAGUAGCCAGUGUGCUGUGGACAGCCUCAGUGGGGCCCAACCCUUAGCCCCUGGCCCAUGUAGUCCCCUCAGCUCGGCUCUCUCCUCAGAGCUAGCUGACCCCACUAACCUGGUCUCGUACCAUCAAAUCAACCGCAUCCUACGAGAGGCCCACUUUGAGAGUCUGCAGUGCCGAGGCCACCCCAGAGAUGCAUGAUGAUUUCCCC
Long non-coding RNA from Oncorhynchus tshawytscha (Chinook salmon), 735 nucleotides. RefSeq lists it as uncharacterized. The transcript is spliced from 3 exons. Lineage: Eukaryota; Metazoa; Chordata; Actinopteri; Salmoniformes; Salmonidae. The record is from RefSeq and is a predicted model, not a curated record.